RNAcentral lists this ribosomal RNA (476 nucleotides) under uncultured bacterium. Its description in RNAcentral is "partial 16S ribosomal RNA". It matches the Rfam family "Bacterial small subunit ribosomal RNA", at positions 30 to 506 of the family's 1533-position model. The record is from RNAcentral.
AUUGAACGCUGGCGGCAUGCCUUACACAUGCAAGUCGAACGGUAGCAGGUUAAGCUGACGAGUGGCGAACGGGUGAGUAAUGUAUCGGAACGUGCCCAGUCGUGGGGGAUAACUGCUCGAAAGAGCAGCUAAUACCGCAUACGACCUGAGGGUGAAAGCGGGGGAUCGCAAGACCUCGCGCGAUUGGAGCGGCCGAUAUCAGAUUAGGUAGUUGGUGAGGUAAAGGCUCACCAAGCCGACGAUCUGUAGCUGGUCUGAGAGGACGACCAGCCACACUGGGACUGAGACACGGCACAGACUCCUACGGGAGGCAGCAGUGGGGAAUUUUGGACAAUGGGCGCAAGCCUGAUCCAGCCAUGCCGCGUGCGGGAAGAAGGCCUUCGGGUUGUAAACCGCUUUUGUCAGGGAAGAAAAGGUUCUGGCUAAUACCUGGGACUCAUGACGGUACCUGAAGAAUAAGCACCGGCUAACUACGU